GCAUUUAGAGGUUGGGCAGAGGAAAUAUGCCUGAGAAGUGACCAGAGGGAUCACAAAACAAACAUUCUCAAAAGAAUUGCCUGCUGCUGACAGAUUAAAAUGGCAAAACUUUAAGUCACAUUGACACAGAUGGUCUCAGUUACCACAGACUGCUAAAAUUGCAGAGGUCAUCCCUUGCUUCACAACUGUUGAAAUUCUUCAAUUUAAAAGUAGCCUCAUAUUUGUGCAUCAAAGGUAAAUGU
Canis lupus familiaris (dog) is the source of this 242-nucleotide long non-coding RNA. RefSeq lists it as uncharacterized. Lineage: Eukaryota; Metazoa; Chordata; Mammalia; Carnivora; Canidae. The transcript is spliced from 3 exons. The record is from RefSeq and is a predicted model, not a curated record.